RNAcentral lists this ribosomal RNA (459 nucleotides) under uncultured bacterium. RNAcentral's name for it is "partial 16S ribosomal RNA". It matches the Rfam family "Bacterial small subunit ribosomal RNA", at positions 338 to 795 of the family's 1533-position model. The record is from RNAcentral.
CCUACGGGUGGCAGCAGUGAGGAAUAUUGGUCAAUGGCCGGAAGGCUGAACCAGCCAAGCCGCGUGAAGGACGAAGGUGCCAAGCAUUGUAAACUUCUUUUGUCAAGGGACAAAAUCAGGCUCGAGAGCCUGACCGAGGGUACUUGAAGAAAAAGCAUCGGCUAACUCCGUGCCAGCAGCCGCGGUAAUACGGAGGAUGCGAGCGUUAUCCGGAUUUAUUGGGUUUAAAGGGUGCGUAGGCGGGCUGUUAAGUCAGCGGUAAAAGCCCGGGGCUCAACCCCGGCGAGCCGUUGAAACUGGCUGUCUUGAGAUGUCGAGAGGUAUGCGGAAUGCGCAGUGUAGCGGUGAAAUGCAUAGAUAUCACGCAGAACUCCGAUUGCGAAGGCAGCAUACCGGCGCGCAACUGACGCUCAUGCUCGAAAGUGUGGGUAUCAAACAGGAUUAGAUACCCGAGUAGUC